AAAGAACCCCGAUGAGGGGAGUGAAAUAGAACCUGAAAUCAUAUACCUACAACCAGUGGAAGGGCUAUGUCAGUUGCGAGACUGGUAUGCCUAACCGCGUUCCUUUUGCAGAAUGCGCCCGCGAGUUGUCGUAUGCAGCAAGGUUAAUCCGUUCAGCGGAGAAGCCGUAGGGAAACCGAGUCUGAAUAGGGCGUCAGUUGCAUGCGGCAGACCCGAAACCAGCGUGAUCUAUCCAUGGACAGGGUGAAGUCUCGGUAAUACGAGACGGAGGCCCGAACCGAUGUUGGUUGAAAACAGCUCGGAUGAGCUGUGGAUAGGAGUGAAAGGCUAAUCAAACCUGGUGAUAGCUGGUUCUCCCCGAAAUAUAUUUAGGUAUAGCCUCGUGUGGUCUGCGCCGGAGGUAGAGCACUGAAUGAGCUAGGGGGCUCACCCGCCUACCAAACUCAAUCAAACUCCGAAUGCCGGUGACAGUAGCACGGGAGUCAGAGUCAGGGCGAUAAGGUCCUGGCUCAAAAGGGAAACAGCCCAGAUCGCCAGCUAAGGUCCCUAAGUAUGUGCUAAGUGGUAAAGGAUGUUGAGUCGCUAAGACAGCCAGGAUGUUGGCUUAGAAGCAGCCACCAUUUAAAGAAAGCGUAAUAGCUCACUGGUCAAGCGCCUCAGCGCCGAAAAUGUAACGGGGCUCAAGCACAUCACCGAAGCUGCGGGUUUGUCGAAAGACAAGCGGUAGGGGAGCACUCUGUAAGCCUGUGAAGGUAGACCGUCAGGACUACUGGAGGUAUCAGAGGAGAUUAUGUGGGCAUAAGUAGCGAAAAUGCGAGCGAGAAACUCGCACGCCGUAAACCUAAGGGUUCCUGAGCAAGGUUAAUCCUCUCAGGGUUAGUCGGUUCCUAAGGCGAGGCCGAAAGGCGUAGUCGAUGGAAAACAGGUUAAUAUUCCUGUACCACCUAUAAAUGCGAUGGGGGGACGCAGGAAGGUAGGCUAUCCGGAGAUCGGUUGUUCCGGUUUAAGCCUUUAGGUGGAGAGCUUAGGUAAAUCCGGGCUCUCGUAAACACCGAAAGGCGAAUACGACCUGCGUAUGCGGGGAAGUAGCUGACCCUACACUGCCAAGAAAAGCCUCUAAGCUUCAGUUUAUAGGUGACCGUACCGCAAACCGACACAGGUAGGUGGGGAGAAAAUCCUAAGGCGCUUGGGAAAACUCUGGUCAAGGAACUCGGCCAAUUAACCCCGUAACUUCGGGAAAAGGGGUGCCUCAUUAGGGUUAGGAUUAUUCCAAAGCCUGAAGAGGUCGCAGAGAAAUGGCAGGGGCGACUGUUUAACAAAAACACAGGGCUCUGCAAACUCGUAAGAGGAUGUAUAGGGUCUGACGCCUGCCCGGUGCCGGAAGGUUAAGGGAAGGGGUUAGUCGCAAGGCGAAGCUCCGAGCCGAAGCCCCGGUAAACGGCGGCCGUAACUAUAAAAUAGGACGUUGUAGUUACGUAAAAAAAUUCAGCUAUAUGCUGGGAAGUCCGGUUUGAGCUUUCGGUACUCGCUACUAGCAGAUUGCGAAUAAGGUAGCAGUAAAAAUCCUGAAAGUACGGAUAAUCAGCAGGAAAGGAUCAGCGAUGCUAAACGUGAAACAAAUUCCACCAUCUGUUGGAUAUUAUUUGGCUGGCUUUGCUGAUGGAGAAGGAAGCUUUAAUAUUAACUUCAGCAAGAGGGAUGAUUACAAAACAUCAUGGAAGGUUACUCUUUGUUUUAAUAUAUCUCAGAAAGAUCCUGUAAUUCUCUCGCUAUUCAAAAAAUACUUGAAAUGCGGGACAAUGAGGAAAAGAAAGGAUGGGAUAUGGUAUUAUGAAGUAAACAACCUGAGCUCUAUAGUUAAUAAUGUAAUCCCCUUUUUUGAAAAGUUUGGAUUCCUGUCCUCAGAGAAAAAGAAAGAUUUUUCUAAGUUUAAGCAAAUAGCCAGAAUUAUAAUGAAUGAUGAGCACCUUUCAUCAGAAGGCAUAAAAAAAAUACUAAUGAUUUGGAAGGAUAUGAGUGGUGGUGGGAAAAUGAAGAAUAAUGAGGAGGAAAUACAAAUAUUACUUU
Molecule: ribosomal RNA, 2067 nt
Filed under: hot springs metagenome
Description: bacterial LSU rRNA
Rfam family: Bacterial large subunit ribosomal RNA (bases 1-1550)
Source: RNAcentral